UACGGAGGGUGCAAGCGUUGCUCGGAAUCACUGGGCGUAAAGCGUACGCAGGCGGCUCGUUAAGUCGGGUGUGAAAGCCCGGGGCUCAACCCCGGAACUGCAUUCGAAACUGGCGAGCUUGAAUACGGGAGAGGGAAGCGGAAUUCCUGGUGUAGAGGUGAAAUUCGUAGAUAUCAGGAGGAACACCUGUGGCGAAAGCGGCUUCCUGGCCCGAUAUUGACGCUCAGGUACGAAAGCGUGGGGAGCAAACAGG
RNAcentral lists this ribosomal RNA (253 nucleotides) under uncultured bacterium. Its description in RNAcentral is "partial 16S ribosomal RNA". It matches the Rfam family "Bacterial small subunit ribosomal RNA", at positions 524 to 776 of the family's 1533-position model. The record is from RNAcentral.